ACCUGUAAGGGAGAUCAGGUACCUUAGGGAACCUCCAGUCAGUUAGAAUACCCCCUGCCGGGUCCUUUCCAGGAUACCCACCUCCCCUCAAUCUCUUGUCACACACCUUCACACUACUGCAUCCAACUACCUAGCAAAAAGCCCACUUGUCUCCUUAGCCCCUUGCACCUUGUAAGCUGACAUCCAGGUUCUUCAAUCCACUUUGGGCAGGCAAACCAAAGCCUUCACCUACAUCACCUAGAACACUGGCUGAUCUCCAAGCACAGGGAAGCACCUCUCUCACCAUCAUGUUUAAGACAUCAGGCAGGUCACUCAACCUGACACAGGACACUUGAUCCGGCCUGUUCCAUCUCAGCUUUGCUUAUUCCUGGAACACACUCUCAAUCUCAAAGACUCCCGUGUGACGCCAAGUUCAUCACAAAGAUUCCAAGAUGUUCCCAAACUGGAGUGAGUUAACCUAGACUCAAAUCCUUUUUCGCUUAGUAGGUGUCUUUGAGAAAGUCACAAAUCUCUCCCUACCUUCUCUGAAAAGCCUGUUAACAAACCGUAUGCAAGUACAGCAAUCAGGAAGCCUAGGUUAUGCCAGAAUUGAAUUCAAGCCCCAGGUGACUUCAUCCCAAUCUCAUUCAACUCCACAAUAGCAGUAAGGCAGGUAAUGUUGUGUCCACUUUAGUUAUGACAACUGAGACUACGGGAUGAGCUCAAAUUUCCAAAACCCAAGUUUUAAAACAAUGGAUAAUCGAAUUCCAGGGACCAGGUCUAGCCACUGGCUGUCCACAGGCGCUCAGUCUGUUCAUUCACAGCCCUCAGCAUCCAACUGCUGCCUGGUACUCACCAACCACAGCUCUGUUGGCUGAGGAGAUAACCUUCUUGGAGCCAGAAGGCAGCUUCACACGGGUCUUCUUGGUCUCAGGGUUGUGGGAGAUAACGGUGGCAUAGUUCCCAGAUGCCCGGGCCAGCUUGCCACGGUCUCCAGGCUUCUCCUCUAGGCA
This is a long non-coding RNA of Sapajus apella (tufted capuchin), 992 nucleotides long. RefSeq lists it as uncharacterized. The record is from RefSeq and is a predicted model, not a curated record. Lineage: Eukaryota; Metazoa; Chordata; Mammalia; Primates; Cebidae. The transcript is spliced from 2 exons.